GGCCUCCUGGUGCUCACCACAGGCUGUGUCCUCACACGGUGUAUAAAGAGGAGGCAGAAUGAACCCAGCCCAUGCACACCCCAGCCCUGGCCCCAGGCCUGGUCUGUACUGUGAACAGGGGAACAUGG
Molecule: small nucleolar RNA, 128 nt
Organism: Otolemur garnettii (small-eared galago)
Lineage: Eukaryota; Metazoa; Chordata; Mammalia; Primates; Galagidae
Source: Ensembl